RNAcentral lists this ribosomal RNA (484 nucleotides) under uncultured bacterium. Its description in RNAcentral is "partial 16S ribosomal RNA". It matches the Rfam family "Bacterial small subunit ribosomal RNA", at positions 28 to 523 of the family's 1533-position model. The record is from RNAcentral.
GACGAACGCUGGCGGCGUGCUUAACACAUGCAGGUCGAACGAUGAAGCUGGAGCUUGCUCCGGUGGAUUAGUGGCGAACGGGUGAGUAACACGUGAGCAAUCUGCCCUUGACUCUGGGAUAACUGCGGGAAACUGUAGCUAAUACCGGAUACUUUCACUGGAAGGCAUCUUCUGGUGAAGAAAGAAUUUCGGUCAAGGAUGAGCUCGCGGCCUAUCAGCUUGUUGGUGAGGUAACGGCUCACCAAGGCGACGACGGGUAGCCGGCCUGAGAGGGUGACCGGCCACACUGGGACUGAGACACGGCCCAGACUCCUACGGGAGGCAGCAGUGGGGAAUAUUGCACAAUGGGCGCAAGCCUGAUGCCGCAACGCCGCGUGAGGGAUGAAGGCCUUCGGGUUGUAAACCUCUUUUAGCAGGGAAGAAGCGAAAGUGACGGUACCUGCAGAAAAAGCACCGGCUAACUACGUGCCAGCCGCCGCAGUAA